AGCCGGGCCCUGUGCGACAGAGGAUUGCAAACCCCGUCAGGUCCGGAAGGAAGCAGCGGUAGCAAGACCGAUGUGUGCUGCAGGUAGCCUGGCUAUC
This 97-nucleotide signal recognition particle RNA is filed under the name Syntrophobacterales bacterium. RNAcentral's name for it is "signal recognition particle sRNA small type". It matches the Rfam family "Bacterial small signal recognition particle RNA". From Rfam's summary of the family: The signal recognition particle (SRP) is a universally conserved ribonucleoprotein involved in the co-translational targeting of proteins to membranes. The record is from RNAcentral. Lineage: Bacteria; Pseudomonadati; Thermodesulfobacteriota; Syntrophobacteria; Syntrophobacterales.